RNAcentral lists this unclassified non-coding RNA (227 nucleotides) under uncultured fungus. RNAcentral's name for it is "sequence contains ITS1, 5.8S rRNA gene". The stretch from base 179 to 227 matches the Rfam family "5.8S ribosomal RNA", at positions 1 to 49 of the family's 154-position model. The record is from RNAcentral. Lineage: Eukaryota; Fungi.
UUUCCGUAGGUGAACCUGCGGAAGGAUCAUUAUCGUAGGGGCCUCGCCCCCUUCGAGAUAGCACCCUUUGUUUAUGAGCACCUCUUGUUUCCUCGGCGGGUUCGCCCGCCAGAGGACCUACCUAAAACCCUUUGCAAUACCUGCAGUACUGUCUGAUAGCGAAAGCAAUUUAAAUCAAAACUUUCAACAACGGAUCUCUUGGUUCUGGCAUCGAUGAAGAACGCAGC